Long non-coding RNA from Podarcis muralis (Common wall lizard), 607 nucleotides. RefSeq lists it as uncharacterized. The record is from RefSeq and is a predicted model, not a curated record. NCBI's taxonomy places the organism in Eukaryota, Metazoa, Chordata, Lepidosauria, Squamata, Lacertidae.
UUCUGCCCUCCCUAGAAUAAAUUUUGACACGCCCCCAACACAAAUCCUGGCUACGCCCAUGGGCUGAGGCACAGAAUUUUGCCACUUUGGGGCGAUUCCAGAUGGGGGUUUAAUUUGCAAAUGGACUGUUGAGAUAUGGCAAAUGCGUAAUUGGCAACAGGGGGCGUUGUGAAAAAAGAAACUUACUGGAUUCAUUCCUCUCCCCAGAAAAGGUGUCGGAUGUCAAUCAGUCUGAGGCCUGGUUAAAGGGGAACGUUUUUGCUGGGUGCCUAAAGGUGUGUAAUGAAGCCACCAGGAGAGCCUCGCUGGAGAAAGCGUUCCACAAAUGAGGAUCCACUGCAGAAAAGGCCCCGUUCUUGUGUUGCCAGACCUCUUGUGGGGGAGGCAUGCAAAAAAGGGCCUCAGCAGAUGAUCUCAGAAUCCAGGGAAAGACGAUUCACAUUCCAUACUGGGUGACACAACUCACACCUUGACUACGGGGAUGGUAGGAGGGUCAGCCAAGAGCUGGAGCCCUAAGUGAAUGUCUGCCCGAAAAAACUCCAUCGCUAACAUUUUUAAGGUUGGGUGGCCAUGUGUCAUGGCUGCUUUAGUUGAGAUUCCAGCACUG